AUGCGUAGGCGUUUUGGUAUGUCCAAUGUUAAAGCCCUCGGCUCAACCGAGGAGAAGCAUUGGAAACUGCCAGAAUUGAGACAGAGAGAGGGAAGUAGAAUUCUCGGUGGAGCGGUGAAAUGCGUUGAUAUCGAGAGGAAUACCAGUGGCGAAGGCGACUUCCUGGCUCUGUUCUGACGCUGAGGCUCGAAAGCGUGGGUAGCAAAAC
This 208-nucleotide ribosomal RNA is filed under the name uncultured bacterium. RNAcentral's name for it is "partial 16S ribosomal RNA". It matches the Rfam family "Bacterial small subunit ribosomal RNA", at positions 567 to 774 of the family's 1533-position model. The record is from RNAcentral.